This 975-nucleotide ribosomal RNA is filed under the name Thaxterogaster urbiculus. Its description in RNAcentral is "eukaryotic LSU rRNA". It matches the Rfam family "Eukaryotic large subunit ribosomal RNA", at positions 1 to 959 of the family's 3401-position model. Lineage: Eukaryota; Fungi; Basidiomycota; Agaricomycetes; Agaricales; Cortinariaceae. The record is from RNAcentral.
AUGUGACCUCAAAUCAGGUAGGACUACCCGCUGAACUUAAGCAUAUCAAUAAGCGGAGGAAAAGAAACUAACAAGGAUUCCCCUAGUAACUGCGAGUGAAGCGGGAAAAGCUCAAAUUUAAAAUCUGACAGUCUCUGGCUGUCCGAGUUGUAAUCUAGAGAAGCGUUAUCCGCGCUGGACCGUGUACAAGUCUCCUGGAAUGGAGCGUCAUAGAGGGUGAGAAUCCCGUCUUUGACACGGACUGCCAGGGCUUUGUGAUGCGCUCUCAAAGAGUCGAGUUGUUUGGGAAUGCAGCUCAAAAUGGGUGGUAAAUUCCAUCUAAAGCUAAAUAUUGGCGAGAGACCGAUAGCGAACAAGUACCGUGAGGGAAAGAUGAAAAGAACUUUGGAAAGAGAGUUAAACAGUACGUGAAAUUGCUGAAAGGGAAACGCUUGAAGUCAGUCGCGUUGGCCAGGGAUCAACCUUGCUUUUGCUUGGUGUACUUUCUGGUUAACGGGUCAGCAUCAAUUUCGACUAUUGGAAAAAGGUCAGGGGAAUGUGGCAUCUUCGGAUGUGUUAUAGCCCUUGGUUGCAUACAAUGGUUGGGAUUGAGGAACUCAGCACGCCGCAAGGCCGGGUUUUUAACCACGUACGUGCUUAGGAUGCUGGCAUAAUGGCUUUAAUCGACCCGUCUUGAAACACGGACCAAGGAGUCUAACAUGCCUGCGAGUGUUUGGGUGGAAAACCCGAGCGCGCAAUGAAAGUGAAAGUUGAGAUCCCUGUCGUGGGGAGCAUCGACGCCCGGACCAGACCUUUUGUGACGGUUCCGCGGUAGAGCAUGUAUGUUGGGACCCGAAAGAUGGUGAACUAUGCCUGAAUAGGGUGAAGCCAGAGGAAACUCUGGUGGAGGCUCGUAGCGAUUCUGACGUGCAAAUCGAUCGUCAAAUUUGGGUAUAGGGGCGAAAGACUAAUCGAACCAUCUAGUAGCUGGUUCUG